CCUAAUGUAGUCAAUGCAACAUUCUGCUGCCACAAAAAUGAUAAUUAUAAAGAAUACGCAGAAGCAUGAAAACUGUUCAUAACAUCAUGUUUGUUGAGAAAAAGCAGGAUACACAAUUUGCAUGAACGCUGUGAUUGCAACCACGAAUAAGCACAGUCUCCAGAGCAACAGGGCUCAGAAGUUGCGGCUCCCAGGCCCCAGAGCCCAAGCUCAGCAGCUGUGGCACGCGAGCUUCGUCAUCCUGCCGCAUGUGAGAUCUUUCGGAUCAGGGAUUGAACCCUUAUCUCCUGCACUGCCAACUUUCUUACCUAUGGAAUUCCACUUCUGACGUGAGAUGCAAAAACUACAGUCUUGCAAAACUGCUUAACCAGCUGCCACACUGGGUAAGUCGAAAUCCCCGGGACAAAUCCAUAGACACAGGACGCCUGCUUCCCUGAUGAAACCUGGCUGACGGUGUGGGUGAGGGUUUGUCUCGAUUAGAAACUGCCGAACAGUUUUCAGAGUGGCUGUGUCUGUUUCCACUUGUGUAGCAGCCUCAUCCUUCUGUGAUCUUUUCACCCUUUCAAACUUCCCC
This is a long non-coding RNA of Bos taurus (domestic cattle), 574 nucleotides long. The record is from Ensembl. Lineage: Eukaryota; Metazoa; Chordata; Mammalia; Artiodactyla; Bovidae.